AACAGGAUUAGAUACCCUGGUAGUCCACGCCGUAAACGAUGAGUGCUAAGUGUUAGGGGGUUUCCGCCCCUUAGUGCUGCAGCUAACGCAUUAAGCACUCCGCCUGGGGAGUACGGCCGCAAGGCUGAAACUCAAAGGAAUUGACGGGGGCCCGCACAAGCGGUGGAGCAUGUGGUUUAAUUCGAAGCAACGCGAAGAACCUUACCAGGUCUUGACAUCCCGCUGCCCGGUGUAGAGAUACGCCUUUCCCUUCGGGGACAGCGGUGACAGGUGGUGCAUGGUUGUCGUCAGCUCGUGUCGUGAGAUGUUGGGUUAAGUCCCGCAACGAGCGCAACCCUUGAUCUUAGUUGCCAGCAUUCAGUUGGGCACUCUAAGGUGACUGCCGGUGACAAACCGGAGGAAGGUGGGGAUGACGUCAAAUCAUCAUGCCCCUUAUGACCUGGGCUACACACGUGCUACAAUGGACGGUACAAAGGGCUGCCAACCCGCGAGGGGGAGCCAAUCCCAGAAAACCGUUCUCAGUUCGGAUUGCAGGCUGCAACUCGCCUGCAUGAAGCCGGAAUCGCUAGUAAUCGUGGAUCAGCAUGCCACGGUGAAUACGUUCCCGGGCCUUGUACACACCGCCCGUCACACCACGAGAGUUUGUAACACCCGAAGUCGGUGAGGUAACCAUUCGUGGAGCCAGCCGCCGAAGGUGGGACAGAUGAUUGGGGUGAAGUCGUAACAAGGUAACC
RNAcentral lists this ribosomal RNA (734 nucleotides) under uncultured bacterium. RNAcentral's name for it is "bacterial SSU rRNA". It matches the Rfam family "Bacterial small subunit ribosomal RNA", at positions 771 to 1501 of the family's 1533-position model. The record is from RNAcentral.